RNAcentral lists this long non-coding RNA (761 nucleotides) under Rattus norvegicus (Norway rat). Its description in RNAcentral is "long non-coding RNA NONRATT007110". The record is from RNAcentral. Lineage: Eukaryota; Metazoa; Chordata; Mammalia; Rodentia; Muridae.
AGCGACUCGCUUCAACCUGGAGACAGAGUGGAAGAACAACUACCCCCGCCUGCGGGAGCUCGACAGGGUAAGAGUCCAAACGCACGCGGUCCUGUCUAUGCUUGAACUACUGUGCUCUUUAGAGUUCCUGUUGACCUGCUGAGCUACAUCGCUGUGAUUUUAAUGAUGAUUACUUAGGAAUAGUUGUCUUUCUACAGUAGUAACUAUUAUAACGUUUUAAAAUAAUUAGGAAUCAUAAGAUAUAAAACAUGUUAAAAUGUUUUCUGAGAAAGUUAUGACUUUUAGUAGUCUUAUUGAUAUAUGCCUAUGUAAUCUAAUUUUUGGUUUUAUUUUUCAUUAGCUUUUUACUUUCUUGGUAUUUACCUUAGAAAUAUAGUCCAUUUAAUGGGAACUAAAUAUUCUUUUUCUUUGAUUUUAAAAUAGCAUUAGUUAUAAGACCCAGCAUUCACUUACUAUUACUAAUCACUGAAUUGUGUGUUGCUUCUUUAGCAAUUGUUUUGUGGAAAUGUUAUGUUUAAAAAACUGCAGUAUGACCUGAAAAGAGUAGACAGUGCACCUGCUUCUCGGUCCCUGUCUGAGUAAUGACUUUCCUGAAGGAGGUUAGAAGGCCAUUUCUUAGUCUCGCGUCUUCAACCCAGAGCUUAGUCGACCACCCUGUCUGUACCCUGCUUUUGGGUAUCUCUGAAGGUCGUGACAGGACAGAUAUAGUGUCUGUGACGAUGCUAAUUUGUGUCUAUGUUGCCUAGAAUGAACUAUUUGAA